This 440-nucleotide ribosomal RNA is filed under the name uncultured bacterium. RNAcentral's name for it is "partial 16S ribosomal RNA". It matches the Rfam family "Bacterial small subunit ribosomal RNA", at positions 338 to 795 of the family's 1533-position model. The record is from RNAcentral.
CCUACGGGUGGCAGCAGUGGGGAAUAUUGCACAAUGGGGGAAACCCUGAUGCAGCGACGCCGCGUGAGUGAAGACGUAAUUCGUUAUGUAAAGCUCUAUCAGCAGGGAAGAAAAUGACGGUACCUGAGUAAGAAUCACCGGCUAAAUACGUGCCAGCAGCCGCGGUAAUACGGCGGAGGCAAGCGUUAUCCGGAUUUACUGGGUGUAAAGGGAGCGUAGACGGCAGGGCAAGUCUGGAGUGAAAGGCGGGGGCUCAACCCCCGGACUGCUCUGGAAACUGUACGGCUAGAGUGCAGGUGGGGUAAGUGGAAUUCCUAGUGUAGCGGGGAAAUGCGUAGAUAUUAGGAGGAACACCAGUGGCGAAGGCGGCUUACUGGACUGUAACUGACGUUGAGGCUCGAAAGCGUGGGGAGCAAACAGGAUUAGAUACCCCUGUAGUC